This 464-nucleotide ribosomal RNA is filed under the name uncultured bacterium. RNAcentral describes it as "partial 16S ribosomal RNA". It matches the Rfam family "Bacterial small subunit ribosomal RNA", at positions 28 to 505 of the family's 1533-position model. The record is from RNAcentral.
GACGAACGCUGGCGGUGUGCCUAACACAUGCAAGUCGAACGGUAAGGCCCUUUCGGGGGUACACGAGUGGCGAACGGGUGAGUAACACGUGAGUAACCUGCCCUCAUCUCUGGGAUAACAGUCGGAAACGGUUGCUAAUACUGGAUAUGAGCUUGCAAGGCAUCUUGUGGGUUGGAAAGAUUUUUUUGGUUGGGGAUGGACUCGCGGCCUAUCAGCUUGUUGGUGAGGUAGUGGCUCACCAAGGCUUCGACGGGUAGCCGGCCUGAGAGGGCGACCGGCCACAUUGGGACUGAGAUACGGCCCAAACUCCUACGGGAGGCAGCAGUGGGGAAUAUUGCACAAUGGACGGAAGUCUGAUGCAGCAACGCCGCGUGCGGGAUGACGGCCUUCGGGUUGUAAACCGCUUUCAAUUGUGACGAAGCUUUUUGUGACGGUAGCAGUAGAAGAAGCACCGGCUAACUACG